AGAGUUUGAUCAUGGCUCAGGACGAACGCUGGCGGCGUGCUUCAUACAUGCAAGUCGAGCGUGAACCCAGGGCUUGCCCUGGGGGAAAGCGGCGAACGGGUGAGUAACACGUGGGCAACCAACCCCAGCCUCUGGGAUAACCUCGGGAAACCGGGGCUAAUACCGGAUACUCUCGAAGGGUCGCAUGGCCCAACGAGGAAAGCUCCGGCGGACUGGGACGGGCCCGCGGCCUAUCAGCUUGUUGGCGGGGUAAUGGCCCACCAAGGCAUCGACGGGUAGCUGGCGUGAGAGCGUGACCAGCCACACUGGGACUGAGACACGGCCCAGACUCCUACGGGAGGCAGCAGUAGGGAAUCUUGCGCAAUGGGCGAAAGCCUGACGCAGCGACGCCGCGUGGGGGAUGAAGGCUCUCGGGUCGUAAACCCCUUUCGGCAGGGAAGAAGCGAAAGUGACGGUACCUGCAGAAGAAGCCCCGGCCAACUACGUGCCAGCAGCCGCGGUAACACGUAGGGGGCGAGCGUUGUCCGGAUUCAUUGGGCGUAAAGAGCGCGUAGGCGGCUCGGAAAGUCGGGUGUGAAAACUCGGGGCUCAACCCCGGGCGUGCAUCCGAUACUGCCGGGCUUGAGGCAGGUAGGGGAGAUCGGAAUUCCUGGUGUAGCGGUGAAAUGCGCAGAUAUCAGGAGGAACACCGGUGGCGAAGGCGGAUCUCUGGGCCUGUCCUGACGCUGAGGCGCGAAAGCUAGGGGAGCGAACAGGAUUAGAUACCCUAGUAGUCC
This 776-nucleotide ribosomal RNA is filed under the name uncultured bacterium. Its description in RNAcentral is "bacterial SSU rRNA". It matches the Rfam family "Bacterial small subunit ribosomal RNA", at positions 8 to 796 of the family's 1533-position model. The record is from RNAcentral.